This 773-nucleotide ribosomal RNA is filed under the name Corynebacterium sp. Bacteria_92. RNAcentral describes it as "bacterial SSU rRNA". It matches the Rfam family "Bacterial small subunit ribosomal RNA", at positions 69 to 852 of the family's 1533-position model. Lineage: Bacteria; Bacillati; Actinomycetota; Actinomycetes; Mycobacteriales; Corynebacteriaceae. The record is from RNAcentral.
AAGGCUCCUGCUUGCAGGGGUACUCGAGUGGCGAACGGGUGAGUAACACGUGGGUGAUCUGCCUUGUACUUCGGGAUAAGCCUGGGAAACUGGGUCUAAUACCGGAUAGGACCAUGCUUUAGUGUGUGUGGUGGAAAGUUUUUUCGGUACAAGAUGAGCCCGCGGCCUAUCAGCUUGUUGGUGGGGUAAUGGCCUACCAAGGCGACGACGGGUAGCCGGCCUGAGAGGGUGUACGGCCACAUUGGGACUGAGACACGGCCCAGACUCCUACGGGAGGCAGCAGUGGGGAAUAUUGCACAAUGGGCGCAAGCCUGAUGCAGCGACGCCGCGUGAGGGAUGACGGCCUUCGGGUUGUAAACCUCUUUCGCUAGGGAAGAAGCCAUUUGGUGACGGUACCUGGAUAAGAAGCACCGGCUAACUACGUGCCAGCAGCCGCGGUAAUACGUAGGGUGCAAGCGUUGUCCGGAAUUACUGGGCGUAAAGAGCUCGUAGGUGGUUUGUCGCGUCGUCUGUGAAAUCCCGGGGCUUAACUCCGGGCGUGCAGGCGAUACGGGCAUAACUGGAGUGCUGUAGGGGAGACUGGAAUUCCUGGUGUAGCGGUGAAAUGCGCAGAUAUCAGGAGGAACACCGAUGGCGAAGGCAGGUCUCUGGGCAGUAACUGACGCUGAGGAGCGAAAGCAUGGGUAGCGAACAGGAUUAGAUACCCUGGUAGUCCAUGCCGUAAACGGUGGGCGCUAGGUGUGGGGAUCUUUCUACGAUUUCCGUGCCGUAGC